RNAcentral lists this ribosomal RNA (700 nucleotides) under uncultured bacterium. RNAcentral describes it as "bacterial SSU rRNA". It matches the Rfam family "Bacterial small subunit ribosomal RNA", at positions 8 to 703 of the family's 1533-position model. The record is from RNAcentral.
AGAGUUUGAUCAUGGCUCAGAUUGAACGCUGGCGGCAUGCUUUACACAUGCAAGUCGAACGGGCUGUUGGGGCAACCUGGCAGUCAGUGGCGGACGGGUGAGUAAUGCAUCGGAACGUGUCCCAUAGUGGGGGAUAACCCGGCGAAAGCCGGACUAAUACCGCAUAAGCUCUAUGGAGGAAAGCGGGGGACCUGAAAGGGCCUCGUGCUUUGGGAGCGGCCGAUGUCCGAUUAGCUUGUUGGUGGGGUAAUGGCCUACCAAGGCGACGAUCGGUAGCUGGUCUGAGAGGAUGAUCAGCCACACUGGGACUGAGACACGGCCCAGACUCCUACGGGAGGCAGCAGUGGGGAAUUUUGGACAAUGGGGGCAACCCUGAUCCAGCCAUGCCGCGUGCGGGAAGAAGGCCUUCGGGUUGUAAACCGCUUUUAGCCGGGAAGAAAAGGCACGGGUGAAUACCCCGUGUUCUUGACGGUACCGGCGGAAUAAGCACCGGCUAACUACGUGCCAGCAGCCGCGGUAAUACGUAGGGUGCGAGCGUUAAUCGGAAUUACUGGGCGUAAAGCGUGCGCAGGCGGUUCGCCGUGUCCUGUGUGAAAGCCCCGGGCUCAACCUGGGAAUGGCAUGGGAAACUGGCGGGCUGGAGUGUGGCAGAGGGGGGUGGAAUUCCGCGUGUAGCAGUGAAAUGCGUAGAGAUGCGGAG